AGAAAAGUAAUUUAAGUGAAAAUGUAAGGUUUCAAACCUUAAUAUGCAGAUGUUGUGCCUUUUUUG
This 66-nucleotide transfer RNA is filed under the name Bathymodiolus azoricus. RNAcentral describes it as "tRNA-Trp". It matches the Rfam family "tRNA". From Rfam's summary of the family: Transfer RNA (tRNA) molecules are approximately 80 nucleotides in length. Lineage: Eukaryota; Metazoa; Mollusca; Bivalvia; Mytilida; Modiolidae. The record is from RNAcentral.